This 243-nucleotide ribosomal RNA is filed under the name uncultured bacterium. Its description in RNAcentral is "partial 16S ribosomal RNA". It matches the Rfam family "Bacterial small subunit ribosomal RNA", at positions 1109 to 1353 of the family's 1533-position model. The record is from RNAcentral.
UUUUAGUUGCCAUCAUCAAGCCGGGCACUCAAAGGAGACUGCCGGUGACAAACCGGAGGAAGGUGGGGAUGACGUCAAGUCAUCAUGCCCCUUAUGACCAGGGCUACACACGUGCUACAAUGGAGGGUACAAAGAGAAGCAACCCCGCGAGAGCAAGCUAAUCUCAUAAAACCGUUCGCAGUCCGGAUUGGAGUCUGCAACUCGCCUCCAUGAAGUCGGAAUCGCUAGUAAUCGCGGAUCAGA